RNAcentral lists this long non-coding RNA (2790 nucleotides) under Mus musculus (house mouse). RNAcentral's name for it is "long non-coding RNA chr2:164526891-164529681". The record is from RNAcentral. Lineage: Eukaryota; Metazoa; Chordata; Mammalia; Rodentia; Muridae.
CUCGUGACCCGGAUCUGUCAGCCUAUCUGUGACUGACCUGAGCUCGUGCCUGGAGCAUGUGUGAUUCUGAUUGGAUGAGGUGGUGUGGAGCGAGAUGAGGUCAGUUGCUGCGAAUAUAGGAGAAUGGCGCUUGCUGCAAGAAGGACAGGGGGAAGAAGCUGCUGGGGGAGAGAGCUGGAAGUGAAAAAGCUGCUGCGUGAACCCGCCUUGGUGUCCGUGUUGUUCUUGUCUCUGCGGAUCGGAGACUGUGGCAGUUCAGCCUUUGUGGCAAGCCUCUUUUCUCCUAUUCCCUGAGCAGGCUCGUCAGCUGUCUUUAUUUAGUUUUUUGAGCUGCAGCUAGAGGCAGGAUGUAAAGAAGCAUGAAGAAGGUUUGAGGCUUUCAUCGCAAUGUUCCAUUACCCCAGGGAGACAGCCAAAUUGAAGGAGACAGAGUGUUUUCUCUCCUCUGAAAGCGGGGGCUCUUCAGAAUUUCAUUUUGCAAACAUCCAUGAGAGAGAGCAAACAGUGCAUCCCUGCAGCUCACCAGCUGCCUUCUGCCUGGACACGCCCCCUAGAGUCCACGCAGGAACCCAUGACCAGAUUCGUCAUCAAGGCCAACUCCGGACUCUGUGAGAUAUUCGCAUAUGGAGGUUGCAGAGAGAAGGAAGACCACUUUUGGGGAAAAUGGGUUUAGGGGAGCAGAACACAGACUAAGGCUGGGAGUGGCUGAAGGGGAAGGUCUGGGAAGAGAGAUGGAGUCUAACCAGAUACACAGUACACACCUGCAUGCUGUCACUCAGGUAUCAAGUGAAGCUCUCCAGUCUGGGAUGAGGAAGUGGUCUUGUGACCUGUGAAGCUAUACACUGCGACAGCCAGGCAGGAGGCGAGCCCCAGACAUGAUCACAGCUAUCUUCCUGACAUCAUCAGAGCCAUCACCCACUCCUUCCUUACUGAUGGGAACAGAGACCCUGCACAGGGGAUCUGCCAUGCUACCAAGUCUUUAUGAUCUAGUUCUGGAUUCUCCCAUGUCAGCUCCAAGGGCCACAGUUGCUCAUUUCUGGGAUGGUCUAGGUCCUAGACUGAUCUGCCAGGCAUACAGGGUCCAGGCUAAGAGCAUGAUAGUCACACAUUCCUUUCUCUUGUGGAGGCCUUGACAUCUGUGCUGACAUAGAUGCAGAAGUACAAGGCCCUAGGCCUGUGCUGUGGCUGUCUUCUGCAAGGUCCAGCCCUUUUCCAUCUCCUUCUCAAACCAUCCUUCAAUCCAGACCCCAUUUUCUACUUUUUCCAGGUGAUCACUCCAGAGUUCACUUGGUUCACGUUGUCUUAUCCAUGUAUUCAACACACCAUGGGAAUAAGAACCAUAUGCUGCAGGUGUGUGUGUGUCCCCAUACAUGUGAGUGUACAUGCACUCCUCAUUGGUGUGUACAGCCCUCCUCCAUGCAGGUGCAAGUGGAUACCAGACACUGAAAUCAGGAUGUUUUUUUUUAAAAUCACCUCUCCACAUUAUCUUUUUAGACAGUCCCUCACUGUCCUAGUUAGCUUUGUAAACUUGACACAGUCUAGAGUCAUCUGGGAAGGGAUUCUCAAUUGCAGGAUUGCCCAGAUCAGAUUGCUCUGUGGGUAUACCUACAGAGGAUUGUCUUAUUAGUUGAUGGCAGAGAGCCCGGUCCACUGCGGGCAGUACUGUCCUUAGGCGGAUGGUCGUGGGGUAUAUAAUAAAGCUAGCUGAACAUGAGCCUUUGAGCAACUUAGCAAGUUUGUUCCUUCAUGGUUUCUGCUUCAAGCACCUUCCCUAAACUCCUUCAAUGAUUGGCUGUAAUCUGGAAGUGAAAGCCAAAUAAAUGCUUUCCUUCCUUCAGUGGCUUUGGUCGGAGUGCUUUCAUCACAGCAACAGGAAAGAGACUGGAGCCCUCACUGACCCGGAAGAUCACUAAUUAGGCUAGCUAGGUUGCAGGCCAGCACGCCCCAGGGAUCUGUCUGCUGCUGACUCCUGGUCCUGGGCUCUAGGCACACACCCCACACAAUGCUUUUACAUGGGUGCUGAGAGUCCAAACCUGAGUUCUGAUGCCUGUACAGUAAGCACUUUAUCCAGAGUCAUCUCCUUAGUUCCUGGGUGGCUCUUUUCUUUUUAAAAUCAUUUUCCCCUAGCAUUGUCUUAAAUGCACAUGCUCUUUUAUUUUUGUGAGCGCACACACACAAGCAUGCACACACUCUCUCUCACACUCAUACACAUGCUGUAAAUGCAUGCAUAAGCACCUAUUUUCUGCUCAGCGCUAGCUGCAGUGUUGGGGUUGCAGCCAGAAUGUUAGCCCCAGGUCUCAUCCUCACCUGUGUCCUCCAUCUGUGCCCUUCCCAUGUUGACAAAGGUGGAGUUUCUGGCAUCCAGUUCUGAGCAUCAGUGAUGUCCAGUGUUGGUCUAGGUGCCUCUCUGAGACAGACGGUGGCACUUCCCCCUUUCCUACCUGCAGACUGAGCUCACGCAGGCCUGGAACUCACCAUGAAGCAGAGACUCCUUUUGAACUUCGGAUCUUCCUCUCUCCACUGCCCAAGUGCCGCCACUACCUCAUGAUUCCUGAUUCCUGGCUUGGACUCUGGUUUCAUCCCAGUGUUUGUUUUUUUAAAAGAGGUAGAGUCUCUGGCUGGAGACAUGGCUUAGUGGUUAAGAGCACUGACUGCUCUUCCAGAGGCCCUGAGUUCAAUUCCCAGCAACUACACAGUGGCUCACAACCAUCUGUAAUAGGAUCAGAUGCCCUCUUCUGAAGACAUUUACAGUGUACUCAUAUACAUAAAGUCAAUAAAAUCUUAAACGAG